GGGGCUAGACAGCUCUCUGAGGUACCCCACACCACAGGACUGGGACCAUAUUGCUGUGAGAGUCUGGGGCUAUACAGCUCUCUGAGGUACCCCACACCACAGGACUGGGACCAUAUCGCUGUGAGAGUCUGGGGCUACACAGCUCUCUGAGGUACCCCACACCACAGGACUGGGACCAUAUCGCUGUGAGAGUCUGGGGCUACACAGCUCUCUGAGGUACCCCACACCACAGGACUGGGACCAUAUCGCUGUGAGAGUCUGGGGCUAUAACAGCUCUCUGAGGUACCCCACACCACAGGACUGGGACCAUAUCGCUGUGAGAGUCUGGG
Molecule: long non-coding RNA, 329 nt
Organism: Oncorhynchus tshawytscha (Chinook salmon)
Lineage: Eukaryota; Metazoa; Chordata; Actinopteri; Salmoniformes; Salmonidae
Exons: 2
Source: RefSeq, a predicted model, not a curated record